CCCAACCAAAAUGAUCUCAAUUCAUCAAAAGAUCAAAAGUUAUCAAAGAAUAUAUAUAUAAUCUUCCUAAAAAUACAACUCAUUUUCCGAUCUCUCUUUCUUCCACAAGCUAAGCUAGGAGGAAAGAGGGCAAAUAAAUCUAAAUUUUAGGUUACUAUUUGAUUUAUAUCCGCUCUAGUUUUGGCUUUGACAAACAAUUUCAAUUAAAGAUGGCAAAGGAAACUAGAAAUAUACGUUCUUGGGUAGAGGUUGUUCCAGCCCUCAUAACAUAUCGACGAAAACCUUCACAUACAUCUGGAUUAGAGACCAUCAGAGAAGAGAUCAACGAGGGGUUUGACGAUGACACAUAAUGUAUCUUCUAUGUAAAAUUCAUCACCUUGGAGCAACGGUAAAGUUGUAUCCGUGUGACCUAUAAGUCACGAGUUCGAACCAUGCGAGCAGCGACUAAUGCUUGCAUCAGGUAGGAUGUUUACGUCACACCCGCUGGGUACGGUCCUUCCCCGAGCCCUACAUGAAUGCAGGAUUUUUUUGGUGCACCGGUCCGCUCUUUUUUUAUUGUCAAGUGUAGUGAAGCUAAUCUCUUUUUACAAAAUGUGUAUACAUUCUGAAAGUAGCUCUUAAUUAGCUUUGGUCGAUGUAAGAUUGAAGUUUUUGGCCCCAGCUGAAGAAUCGGAGAAUAUUUUAGCUAGAGGGAUUAAUGCAUAUUUUGCUUUUUAUUAGCUUUUCGUUGUUUCAUAUGUGCAGUGAACUAACAAUGCUUUAGAUUAUUAAUAGAGUUUAAUGGUAUUAUUUAGAACUUAGAAUCAUUGCUAUCAAAUAAUCUGAUGAGGAUAACAACUUGAAGUUUUUGCCCCUUAAUUUUAAAAACCAUACAACUGGUGAGUUUGGUUUAGCUGAAAAUGUUUUUCUUAUAAAACAUGUUCUAGUUUAAUUACUUGAAUAGUUGAAUUAUUUUUCCAAGGGAAUUGCUUUAUUUCUGUAAAAGGAAGGAAUAAUUUCCUUCAUCUGUGAAAGUUAAUUACUUUACACAUUUAAACUUAAAUGCCAUUGCUAUUGUUGACUAGUAGGCAAGUUACACAUUUGACCUUGUAUACGGUCGAAAUAGAUUUCAGCCUUGGCAUGUCCGAUCGAGUUCGAAGGGUGAUGUAUCGAAAUAAGAUCCCGAACGGGGGACGAACUAACCUCGAACCNNNNN
This 1195-nucleotide long non-coding RNA is filed under the name Nicotiana tabacum (common tobacco). RNAcentral describes it as "long non-coding RNA (NTAB_LNC001093)". Lineage: Eukaryota; Viridiplantae; Streptophyta; Magnoliopsida; Solanales; Solanaceae. The record is from RNAcentral.